Molecule: RNA transcript, 3838 nt
Organism: Mugil cephalus (flathead mullet)
Lineage: Eukaryota; Metazoa; Chordata; Actinopteri; Mugiliformes; Mugilidae
Gene name: mucin-5AC
Exons: 11
Source: RefSeq, a predicted model, not a curated record
GAAACCUCGGCGCGCAACGGCCCUGGAGGCUUAAAGCUUCCCCACCAGCCUCUCUCCGCUCGUCUUACGUUAGAAAACACGCUGUCUGGCACACGUGUGUCUAAUUUAGGUGACAGCGCGGCGGUUUCCGUUACAAGGAAAUGAUGGAGGAGGAAAGUUUGUGACGCCUGUGCGCUUUUGCUCGCUGGGACUGUCCGCAGGAAAACGGGACAUCAUUUCGCUCUGCGCAGUUUGCUCGUCCUCGUUGCAGCGUGCGGACACUGGAAUCUGAGAAAUCUGUAUGGAUUUGGGAUGAAUAAGGUGUCUGACAGUGAAAUGUCUGAGCGUCGGAAAUGCGUCUCCACGUCUUUCUGUUGCAUUUCAUCAUCACAACAGAUACAACAUUGGCCUUGUCGCACCAGCUCUGUGGUGGAAAUGUCAGCCUGGACCAAGAGCCUGCUGGUCACAUUAGUCUCACCCUGCCUGGACUGUUUACUGAUGCCAACACACUCGGCCCAGUGAGCCAACAGACCUCGGCACCUUCAGUUUGCACUUGGAUGAUACAUAUUCCUCAGGGGAGGACAGUACUUUUAAAGUUGGCAUGGCUAGAAAGUGGAUCGAGCAUAUCUGUGCGCUGUGUCCGGGACAAGGAAAGUCGGGUUUUGAAGAGCGGGCAGACGGCUCUGCUCUCUUACUGUGACAGAAACAACGCUGUUAUCAUUUGGACUGGAGCAGGAUACUCCUCAAAGGCGGUCCGGCUUGCGUAUUCUGUCCAGGAAGAUGAGAGGAAUUCCUCGGAGGCCCAAGCAACGCACGAUCCAGACCUCGCUCAUUGGUCCCAGACAGGAACCAGCUUUACAAGCACUGCCCCUGUUGGCCAAGAGCUGGUUAGAGGCACAGAUGGGGGCAGAGGUCACCUCUACGGAGGUCUGGAGCCUCAGUCCGUGUCUAGUGCCUCCUUCUCUCAGGUCCAGGGCCUGCUGCACCCCACCACACCCCAGCAGGGACUCCCUGUCGCUGGUGGAACUGAUAGGGAAACUCUCCCGCUUCCUGAGGAAAAACCAAACAAUGGAGCGGAUGCAUCUGCAGCGGCUCACCUCACAGAUAUACCAGUGACUGCCAGAGAAGGAACACACCCAUAUUUUCAGCGUGCUCCGAGCACAGACACGACGAACACAAGCACUGAGACAGCUCAGAUUUUUCUGACAGAUACACCAGACAUACAAAAAUAUAUGUCAAAAUAUACGUCAAAACCCAGAGCCCCAAAGCCCAGAGACGAACAUGCAACCACACAAACCGACCAAAGUGCGUCCAGCUCAGGUACUCUGCUUCUCACUGAGCUACCUUCCCGGACAACGUGGGAGAGUGACACCGUCCUGAUCCCACGUGGUGGAGCUGCCAGUGGGACACCUGGACGUAAACACAUGUGGAGGAGCCAGAGAAGCACAGACGCACUCAACUCUGAUCUGACUUCUGCCACCACCUUUAACCCUGCGAAAGCAUCCACCAAAUCUCCACAGCACGACUCAAGCAGCGGAGAAACUGACACCGAACCCACUUCAUCAUCAUCACCAUCAUCAUCAUCAUCAUCAUCAUCAUCAUCAUCAUCACAGGGCUCCACCAGGACUCAUUCAUCUACCACCCACAUCACAGAGCUCAACACUGCUGUUGGUACAGUUCAUCCAAACUUAAGUCACAGUGACUCAUUUGAAUCUGGUGCUUCAGAUGUUUCUACUCUUCAGACUCUGACUUCCACGUCACACAGUCAGACAGCAUCUCCUCAAAGCACAGAGAGCGCCACACACUCGCCACGCAUGUCCUCCACGCUCACACGGACAAGCGACAAAGACAAACAAACUUCAACAGAGAGCACACAGGCACAUUUCAUUAGCGAGGACAUCACUACCAACGUCGUCUCCUCCCGGCCCGACGAGCAAACGCCAGGGUUCACCGGUUCUGUUUCCACACCUGGAGCAGCUCUGACGACAAGAGAUGUCGUCCAGAACCCAUCCGUCGCAGGAGCCACCGGAGAAACGUCAACACUGCAUCGUCCCACUCACACAAUGCCACACAACAGCAGCUCAUCUGCAGAUUCGCCAACUUCUGUUCCUACCCUGCCGUCGGACUCAUCUAUGGAGUCAUCUACGCCUUUGUCCAUGCUCCAAACACACACUCCGUCUCCUGAUAGGUCACACAGCACCAUUUCAGCCUCCUCUACCACUCAGCCCACCAUGCAAACAGGCACUGUGGAUCACAAAACCACACUUGCAUCUUUACGAACGAUGCGCACACCUCAGACGCAACAGCCUCUGCAGACCUCCACUAAGAUAUCUCCUACACACACACAGGCACACACCAUUAUUAGUACUACUGCUACUACGCAUACUUCUGUGUUUCCGCUUACAACUGUAAAAUCUGAAGACCGGCAGUGGUCUCCUAGCAGCACGACCACACGCACUCCCACAAGUGGAACCCUACCCGAGACGACCCUACAUCCCAGCCACAAGGAGCAUUUGACGCCUUCGGUUAUAACCUCCACUUGGAGCUCCACAAAGAGCCCCACGUUCUACAUUGUGCCAGACCGGCCUGCCGCCAUCAGAGUGGAGUCGAUUGAGCUGCUGCUGCAGAUCGUCGUAGAAGAGUCCAGAUCGACUUUUGCUGCCGGACUAGAAGAAGACACCACAGCCUGGGUGGAGCCGUACUUACAGAAGGCUCCGGGGUUCAGGAGGCUGCUGGGAGUCUGGAGCAGUGGCCAUGCAGUGCAGAGUCUGGUGGAGUUUAAAACCAGCAGGGCUCUGCCGUGGCUCACCACGUCAGGACCCACAUCGCUGCUGGAGCGAACAGGCCUAGCUCAGGCCGUCCGCGAGGGGAGGACAUUCAGAUCAUCCAAGAUCACCAACAUCACACUCGGAGGCCUGCAGGGCGAUGUGUGUCACUGGUUACUGCAGUGUCCCUCAGGCUACAAAUGUGUGCCCCAGCCUGUCACUGCAAACUAUAGCUGUUCCUCUGUCUGCCGCUUUGACUACUGCCACCACCACGGCAUCUGCACACACCAUCCAGGACAACUUCCAGUGUGCCGCUGCCUUGUAGGCGACGACUUCUGGUACAUGGGUCAGAGGUGUGACGUGAGGAUGACUCGAGCGCGGCUCGUGGGCGCGUGUCUUGCCAUCUUGAUCGUCAUGGUGACGGUCAUUGGCGUUUUGGCCUUUGUGGCGGUGCGCCGCUACCGAGCCAUGCUGAUCCAGGCCAAAGUGGACCAGACUCGCAGCAGCUACCGCAGGUUCAACCACUUCGAUGAGCUGUCGGGUCGCUUCUGGUUGCGCUCAUGGGCCGGUUCAGCCGACUCGCUGGAUAAUCCUGCCUUCACACGCUCCGAUGAGUUGCUGCAUCUGCGGGCGCUCGACCGCCCCUGCUGUUACCACGACGACACGCUGUCACUGGCCUCCACCUGCCCCAGCCACGGGACGCGCGUCAACACAAUCUAUCCCCACAGAGCUGAGCAAAAAUGCUUGAACCGCUGGAAACGUACCAAUCCACAAUAUCCUUUCGAAACAGCUUUACACGGUCACCCCAAGCGAAAUAGUUUUGGAACAGGUUGUUACGGCAGAGUGAGAUGAAAGCAGCCAACAAGUGCUCGGCACAUGUGGGAACUCCUUCAGGACGGUUGGGAAAAACUCCAGCUGACUUCAUGAAACUGGUUGAAGAAAAAAAGCUCCCAGUACGGUUGGAGGGGAAGUGAGAUGAGUAUGGGGGACGGUGUGUUGGACUCAGGUAAGGCCAGUGACCUUUCCGUCUGCAGCUGGCCAGUGGAACCCAUUCACUGGACUCCAUUCCCACUUCUGCAGCAGCUGGCCUCCCA